RNAcentral lists this ribosomal RNA (404 nucleotides) under Actinomycetes bacterium. RNAcentral describes it as "Actinobacteria bacterium partial 16S ribosomal RNA". It matches the Rfam family "Bacterial small subunit ribosomal RNA", at positions 355 to 776 of the family's 1533-position model. Lineage: Bacteria; Bacillati; Actinomycetota; Actinomycetes. The record is from RNAcentral.
UGGGGAAUAUUGGACAAUGGGCGCAAGCCUGAUCCAGCCAUGCCGCGUGAGUGAUGAAGGCCCUAGGGUUGUAAAGCUCUUUCACCGGUGAAGAUAAUGACGGUAACCGGAGAAGAAGCCCCGGCUAACUUCGUGCCAGCAGCCGCGGCAAUACGAAGGGGGCUAGCGUUGUUCGGAUUUACUGGGCGUAAAGCGCACGUAGGCGGACUUUUAAGUCAGGGGUGAAAUCCCGGGGCUCAACCCCGGAACUGCCUUUGAUACUGGAAGUCUGGAGUAUGGUAGAGGUGAGUGGAAUUCCGAGUGUAGAGGUGAAAUUCGUAGAUAUUCGGAGGAACACCAGUGGCGAAGGCGGCUCACUGGACCAUUACUGACGCUGAGGUGCGAAAGCGUGGGGAGCAAACAGG